This 189-nucleotide non-coding RNA is filed under the name Desulfobacteraceae bacterium. Lineage: Bacteria; Pseudomonadati; Thermodesulfobacteriota; Desulfobacteria; Desulfobacterales; Desulfobacteraceae. The record is from RNAcentral.
CGAUAAAUAAACAAUCAAGGUGCUGUUUCAGCUUAAAAGGGAAUCCCGUAAAAAUCGGGAGCGGUCCCGCCGCUGUGUUCGGGGACGAACGCUGCAAUAUUAUGCCACUGCCUGAGAGAAUCAGGCGGGAAGGCGCAGCCUUUAGGAUGAUCCGAGAGCCAGAAGACCUGCCUUGAUGUAAUAAUAUCU